GCCAAACGUGACGCACCAAACGGAGCAAUUUCUCCUAAACAAAUAAUCUUUCAGGAAAAACUGAGCAUUUGCUAUCUAACUGAGAGUCUCCUCAUUGAAAGCAUCUGAAGUUCUUCAAAGGUAAUGAUUUUAUUUGAAUGAUUUUCUGGUUUUUGUGAAAAUGUUGCCUGCUGAUGCUAACGCUAAAUGCUACGCUAGCUGGGCUAGCUGUUACACAAAUGCUUGUUUUGCUAUGGUUGAGAAGCAUAUUUUGAAAAUCUAAGAUGACAGUGUUGUUAACAAAAGGCUAAGCUUGAGAGCUAGCAUAUUAAUUUCAUUUCAUUUGUGAUUUUCAUGAAUAGUUAACGUUGCGUUAUGGUAAUGAGCUUGAGGCUGUAUUCACGAUCCCGGAUCUGGGAUGGCUCGACGCAAGAAGUUAACUCGUGUUUAUUUUAUUGCCAUUCAAGGUAGAUAGCCAGCUAAAUGUAUAGCUAGGGUAUCCAGAUUACUUGCCUUACAUUCCCCAACACGACUAUCUCAUGACUUCUUUCACCCUCCAGGUAUUCAGACUGCCUCCGUUUACGGGCCGACUUCUUAAAUUAAAAAUGUUUUCAGAGAGUUUGGUCUCAUAAAGAAGCAGCAGUGUUUUUCACUGUGUACACCAGAAGUCACAUGCAGGAUAUUUAAAUAUGUGUAUUUAAAUAUGCGUGUGUGUAGUCGAGCAUGUGUGCAUGUGUGUGCUUCCAUGUGCGUGUGUAAUUGAAGACGGGGGGAGUUUCACUGAGCUGAAGUGUACUACUCCAGAGUACAUUACCAGUACCUCUCUUUGUGCUAGCUCAAUAUCUCCUUACAACAGAAAUUGAAUUACACCAGAAGAUUUGAUAACACUUGAUGGAAGCGAAAAUGCUGCUUGUCCAUUAAAGAGAUAUUAUCUUCUGCUCUCUUCCUCUCUCUCUCCCUUCUCUGUCUCUCAGAAAAUUCAUCAUGUGAUUUUUCGAUUUCAACAACCUUUUUGCCAAAUACAAAAAUCUAUUAUAAAAGCUGCUGUUGUCCAUUUAAAGAAUGACUGUGUUAAUAAUGAAGAUGAUGCUGUUAUUAAUGAUGUACACAUUCUCAGUACUACACAGGUAUGAUGUUGUUAUUAAUGAUGUACACAUUCUCAGUAAUACACAGGUAUGAUGUUGUUAUUAAGGAUGUACACAUUCUCAGUAAUACACAGGUAUGAUACUGUCAUUAAGGAUGUACACAUUCUCAGUAAUACACAGGUAUGAUGCUGUCAUUAAGGAUGUACACAUUCUCAGUAAUACACAGGUAUGAUGCUGUCAUUAAGGAUGUACACAUUCUCAGUAAUACACAGGUAUGAUGCUGUUAUUAAGGAUGUACACAUUCUCAGUACUACACAGGUAUGAUGCUGUCAUUAAGGAUGUACACAUUCUCAGUAAUACACAGGUAUGAUGCUGUCAUUAAGGAUGUACACAUUCUCAGUAAUACACAGGUAUGAUGUUGUUUUAUAUUUUAAUGUCUCAUCAGUUAUUUGUGAAGUGUAUUUAAGCAACUAAAGUAAAUGUAAUAAACACAUUUACUGGCUAAAGGAUGAACAAGUAAGGCAGGAUUGCAACGAAGACACGUUAUCACUGGAUGUCUUAAACUUGCUACUAAUAAGAGAUUACACGAAGCUGGUUACAAUGAAGAACCUGCGGAACCUUUAGACCAGCUCAUAUGAUGUCAUCACAUUCUUUCUUCAAUAAAGUACAAUAUGCCAGAACAGGUCUGCUGGCCUUGGAGUCCUGUAAGACUAUACAACGGCUCACUGUUCAGUGUUAUCAUGUUGUUCUAAAAAUAAAGAAAUCAUCUCUGCUAUCCACACACAACAUAGGACAUGUUACUCUUAAUUAACUACCAGCACGAUUUAAAAAAAAAAGUAAUUACAAUAUCAUUGUGCAACUUUAUAUAACUUACUUUGAAUACGAUAUAAUUUGAUUCCAAAUACAACACAAUGAUUUAGUUUCAUAUGUCAAAUGAGUAGACUAUCACAGCUAAAUAAUAUUUCCUUUUCCCUGCUUGAUAAGAAAUCGAUUCAGACAAUUCAAAUCAUUAAUGUAUUGCAUAAAUUGGAAACAAAAUAUAAUUUCUACUCCAUGACUUUUCCAGUCAGACAAUGUGUAGGGUAGACUACACUGUCAUAGUAGAUUUGCCACCGUAAACAAGGAAUUUAAUGCUAUAUUUCAGCUGUACGGAAUGAUUGAUAAAUACAUAAAUUGUACUUAGUCAUGUAAAAAAGACAGAUCAAAUUGUUAUGAUGAUAAUAACCACCAUAGAUCAAAACUUUCUUGAAGAAAGUCUGGUUACAAUGAGGACUACAAGAUAACCCGGACAUCCGAGUUAUCGAGCAGUAAAUAGGUGGCAGCUGAUGGUUGCAUCUGAGACGAUCAAUGCAGGUCAAUUUAGCGCUAUUGAUGGUUGCAUCUGAGACGAUCUAUGCAGGUCAAUUUAGCGAUAUUGAUGGUUGCAUCUGAGACGAUCUAUGCAGGUCAAUUUAGCGCUAUUGAUGGUAUGAGGAGAGAUCAGCUGUGCAGGUCAAUUUUGCUGUAUUGAUGGUUUAAGGAGAGAUCAGCUGGCGAUAAUCUAGUCGUCAAUUGUUGUUGUAACAGGCCCCAUUCAUAUUACAGAGAAGAGGAGCAUGCUGGGAAAACAGGAUGACAUGAACUGGCUCAAAUUACAAGCGGUUGUGUGGUGGCACUGGUUAAUUAGUUGACUGAUUGAAUGAAACAACACAAUUUGAAAAAUUAUUAAAUUGUGUGUGUGUGUGUGUGUUUGUGUGUGUGUAUAUGUGUUUGUGUGUGUGUGUGUGUGUGUGUGUGAAUGUGUAUGUGUGUGUAUGUGUUUGUUUGUGUGUAUGUGUGUGUGUGUACGUGUGUGUGUGUGUGUGUGUAAAUCAAAUAAAAUGUAAAAAUAUUGUAUUUUCACAUGCUGAGAAUACAACCUUACUCAGUCCUCCCUUUCCUGUAGCACACAAUCAUAUCCUUUGUCUUGAUCACAUUGACGGAGUUGUUAUCCUGGCACCACACGGCCAGGUCUCUGACCUCCUCCCAAGAGACGGUUUCAUCGUUGUCAGUGAUCAGCCACUGUUGGCCAUACAGUCAAGGGUGAACAGGGAGUACAGGAAGGGACUGAGCAUGCACCCCUGAGGGGCCCCCAUGUUGAGGAUCAGUGUGGCAGAUGUGUUGUUAUCUACACUCACCACCUGGGGGCAGCCCGUCAGGAAGUCCAGGAUCCAGUUGGAGAGGGAGGUGUUUAGUACCAGGGUCCAUAGCAUAGUGAUGGCCUUUGAGGGCACUAUGGUGUUGAACGCUGAGCUGUAGUCAAUGAAUAGCAUUCUCACGUCUGUGUUUCUUUU
This is a long non-coding RNA of Oncorhynchus tshawytscha (Chinook salmon), 3376 nucleotides long. NCBI's taxonomy places the organism in Eukaryota, Metazoa, Chordata, Actinopteri, Salmoniformes, Salmonidae. The record is from Ensembl.